RNAcentral lists this non-coding RNA (31 nucleotides) under Mus musculus (house mouse). The record is from RNAcentral. Lineage: Eukaryota; Metazoa; Chordata; Mammalia; Rodentia; Muridae.
UAUAUAAAGAUGCUGUCCAUUUGAAUGCUGU